CCAAGUUUAAAGUUCAAAGGAUUCAAUUUGGAGGAGUAAAAUCAAAAGAAAAAUUCAAAAGAACAGUCUUCGAGUCGACUCCAGUGGAAUUCGAGUCGACUCCGGAGAAGUAUGAGUUGACUCCGGAGAAGUAUGAGUCGACUCCUAGGAGUCACAGGCAGAAAAGUCAGAGAGCAGUUUUCGGGUCUGAGAUUCGAGUAGACUCCAGUGGAACGCGAGUCGACUCCGAUGGUUGGUAGGUCGACUCCAAAGAAAGCAAGAGUCGACUCUCAGCGGAACACAAGGAAAAAGUCAGAGAGCAUUUUUGGGACUCUGAGAUUCGAGUCGACUCCCGC
Molecule: long non-coding RNA, 335 nt
Filed under: Phoenix dactylifera (date palm)
Lineage: Eukaryota; Viridiplantae; Streptophyta; Magnoliopsida; Arecales; Arecaceae
Description: long non-coding RNA (PDAC_LNC011254)
Source: RNAcentral